AAAUCAUACCAAACUCUAGCUUCAAAAUUAAGCACAAGUUCAUACCCAUAUCCAAUUCUGUUCCCCAUACCCAUACCAAAGUGUUGCGACAAUUUGCUUUUGCUGUAGUUUCCAUACCAACUCACUUUUGAAAUUUCAUCGAAUUCUGAGAUUUCAGAUCGGUUGGGAAGCCAUUAUCGAUCUCCAACGACGGUUCCAGACGAGAUCACUGGACCCAGGAAGGGAGAACAAUGGAGAAGAAGAAAGUCUCAAGACUUUGUGUAACAGGAGGUUCUGGAUAUAUUGGCAGUAGGCUUGUCAAAAAGCUCCUGGAGAAGGGCCACACAGUCCAUGCCACUCUCAAAAACUUAGAGGAUGUAUCAAAAGUAGGCCUUCUGAAGUCUCUCCCCAAUGCAGACACCAAUUUGUUGCUGUUCAGAGCUGACAUAUACAAUCCUAAUGACUUCGAACCUGCUAUUGAAGGGUGUGAGUUUGUUUUUCAUCUUGCAACUCCUAGGCAACAUAACUCCCAAAUCUCCCAGUACAAGGACACAGCUGAAGCUGCUAUUGCUGGGGUGAGAAGCAUUGCUGAUUCUUGCAUUCGGUCGCAGACAGUUAAGCGACUGAUCUACACUGCAAGCAUACUUUCUAUGUCACCAAGAAACGAGGGUGGAGUUGGAUUCAGACCCUUACUUGAUGAGUCAUGUUGGACACCGCUUGAUGCCUCAUCUACUUAUGGCAAUGCUUUCACAAUGGGGUACGUUAAAUCAAAGACCUUAGCUGAGAAAGCAGCGCUAAGCUACAAUGACUUUGAUGACAGUAAAUUAGAAGUGGUAACUCUUCCUUGUGGCUUAGUAUGAGGAGAAAGUCUUGUGUCAUAUUUGCCUUUCAGUGUGGGAGGGAUUCUGGCACAACUUACUGGGGACUUGUUUUCUUGCAAUGCAUUAAAAUUCAUGCAAGAAUUUAUGGGAUCAGUUCCUCUGGUGCACAUUGAUGAUGUUUGCCAAGCACAUAUCUUCUGCAUGGAACAGCCAUUAAUGGAAGGCAGAUUCUGUUGCGCAGUUGCCCGGCACUCUAUCAAAGAAAUUGCAAUAUACUUCCAAGAAACUUACCCAGAAUACAAGAUACAUAAGGAAUUGACUGAAGGGCCUGAAGAAGGAAGCCAAAGUGAUUUCAGUAAGCUGAAGAAGAUGGGCUUUGAGUACAAGUAUGGCAUCAAGGAGAUACUAGAUGACAGUGUAGCAUGGGCAAAGAAGUUAAAUGAGAGCUCUUUUUCCCAAGUAGUUUAGUCCUGGUAAUUCAAUUAUAAUGAUCCAGUAUCAUCAAAUUUGUCGACAAAAGAUAUAAUAAAAAUGACUGUCUGAUUC
Fragaria vesca subsp. vesca is the source of this 1346-nucleotide RNA transcript. It is a transcript of the gene named anthocyanidin reductase-like, with no coding region annotated. The transcript has a single exon. NCBI's taxonomy places the organism in Eukaryota, Viridiplantae, Streptophyta, Magnoliopsida, Rosales, Rosaceae. The record is from RefSeq and is a predicted model, not a curated record.